Molecule: long non-coding RNA, 1475 nt
Filed under: Homo sapiens (human)
Lineage: Eukaryota; Metazoa; Chordata; Mammalia; Primates; Hominidae
Description: HSALNT0291418
Source: RNAcentral
GAAAAGGGUUGGGUAGGUACCAGAGCCAAAGUUGGGAAGGGCAGAAUUUGAGACAGGCAGGCUCCUGGUCUAAUUAUAGACACUGAAGUAGAGACUGAGCAAGCAUUGUGGUAGGUGCGGAGGACUGCACCGCAUGCUAGGCCUGGGCUGACGAACCACAGCCAGUCAUUUCUUCAUUCCUUCAUUCACUCAGAACCAGUGGAUUCAGCCCCUGCUCUGUACCAGUGUCUGGGCCGGGCAUUAGAGGGAUGGCAGUGAGUGAGAGACAUGGCUCUCGCCCUGGUGUAACUUCCAGUCCAGCAGAGAAGACAGACUUACAGAGUCAUUACAAUGACACUCAAUGACAGCCACUUGGUCCAGCCUGAGGAUGUCUGUUUGAUUCCAACAACUCCACAGUCUCCUGCGGCUGGGCACCGUGUACCUGUCGGUAAGUAGAUGCCUUUUGACCAUCCUGAAGUCACUGGCAGAAAUGCCAGCUCCUGGCCACCCAGAGCUUCUCACACUGCAGAGAGUGGUUGCUCGCUGCCUGUGGCUGGGGCCCUCGGAUCAUUCAUCCAAGGAACGAAAAUACAAAAAAAAUACAAUACCGUUGGUCUUCAAACACUUGGCUGGAGGCAGAGGAAACCCACCCUCUUCUAUUCUGAGCCCUGCCUGGGGCUCAGAACCUUCUCUCCUCAGGCACCAGGGCCCCUGGGAGGCUAAGGCGAUGUCCCCCCAGCCUCCCCCAGGGCGCCUUCCAUUCAUGCUCUGAGUUCUGCAGGAGGGAGGAUCGAUGCCUUCUGUGUCUCCCGGAGACAGCCCCGCACAUUCCUGCAGAACUAUUGACAGCUUCGCCUCUCUUUCGUAUCUUCCAUACUUCAUUUGUGAAAAGAACUGUAAUUACCCUCGAGGAGUCAUUGGAGAAAAAGUGUACAAAUUGAAAAAGACUGGAAAUGGGCACCUCUGGCUGCGGAGAAAACACUUUCAAUAUGGAACCGUUCUCGCCCGGGCCUGUGCAUUCCCAUUCGCCUGGCCCUUAGCUUCUCUGCCGCAAACUGUGGCAGCCUUUGUGCCCACCCUGACAAUGGGCGUUUGACAUGGAGGGCAGCGAGAUUAAUGAGGGACCAGAGUUUUCCAUUUUUUCCUCUAACAGCUAACUACUUUCUUUUCAACUCCUCCUGCUAAAUAGCCCGGACAAUGAAUAAAGCUUCGGUUGUACUUGGUUUUUUUCUCUCUUUUCUUCUUUGCUUCCCACACAGUUGGUUGUUGACGCUGCCUUAACCUAACCGGCCAGUGGCCUUGUUAACUGGUCCGGAGACAUAGAUCUUGCCAAGUGUGGAGAGUUCUGGGAUUUGGGGAAGAAAAGGUCCCUGUUACUGGGGAGUUAUCUGAGGACAAGACGCUGAAAGCUUUGCCCCAGACCCUCAAAGGUGACCAUGGACCAGAGCCAAGCUCUGAGCUUCCUGCCCAGCUUCCUCAUCCGAUGGUGCCUUUCA